ACGGAAGGCAGCAGUGGGGAAUAUUGCACAAUGGGGGAAACCCUGAUGCAGCGACGCCGCGUGAGUGAAGAAGUAUUUCGGUAUGUAAAGCUCUAUCAGCAGGGAAGAUAAUGACGGUACCUGACUAAGAAGCCCGGCUAACUACGUGCCAGCAGCCGCGGUAAUACGUAGGGGGCAAGCGUUAUCCGGAUUUACUGGGUGUAAAGGGUGCGUAGGUGGUAUGGCAAGUCAGAAGUGAAAACCCGGGGCUCAACCCCGUGGAUUGCUUUUGAAACUGUCAAACUAGAGUACCGGAGAGGUAAGCGGAAUUCCUAGUGUAGCGGUGAAAUGCGUAGAUAUUAGGAGGAACACCAGUGGCGAAGGCGGCUUACUGGACUGUAACUGACGUUGAGGCUCGAAAGCGUGGGGAGCAAACAGGAUUAGAUACCCUGGUA
RNAcentral lists this ribosomal RNA (434 nucleotides) under uncultured Coprococcus sp. RNAcentral's name for it is "partial 16S ribosomal RNA". It matches the Rfam family "Bacterial small subunit ribosomal RNA", at positions 341 to 792 of the family's 1533-position model. The record is from RNAcentral. Lineage: Bacteria; Bacillati; Bacillota; Clostridia; Lachnospirales; Lachnospiraceae.